Molecule: ribosomal RNA, 229 nt
Filed under: uncultured bacterium
Lineage: Bacteria
Description: partial 16S ribosomal RNA
Rfam family: Bacterial small subunit ribosomal RNA
Source: RNAcentral
ACGAACAGUUGGAAACGACUGCUAAUACCGCAUACGAUCCAAUCUCGGCAUCGAGACUGGAUGAAAGGUGGCCUCUAUUUAUAAGCUAUCACUGAAGGAGGGGAUUGCGUCUGAUUAGCUAGUUGGAGGGGUAACGGCCCACCAAGGCGAUGAUCAGUAGCCGGUCUGAGAGGAUGAACGGCCACAUUGGGACUGAGACACGGCCCAGACUCCUACGGGAGGCAGCAUG